Molecule: long non-coding RNA, 8308 nt
Filed under: Pan troglodytes (chimpanzee)
Lineage: Eukaryota; Metazoa; Chordata; Mammalia; Primates; Hominidae
Description: lincRNA
Source: RNAcentral
CUGUGGGACUAACAUGGCUAUGAUCUGUCGGACAGACUUCAGGCUGGCACCCAGGCAAAAUUCUAUGCUGUAGUAAAUGCAUCAUGCACAUUUGUAACAACACGUACAUAACAAUGUCACAAAAUACUUUCAUGGUGACACCUAGAUUAGUGUUUUAUUGAAUAGCUGAUGAUAUAACUGGCUCAUUUGGUGCCAGGAAUGACCAUCACCACCAUACCAAGGUCAUCACUGAUCAGAGGCCUAACCCAAGGAGGGGGUCAUGUGCAGGCCCAGCGGUGGGGAGGAAAGAUGCCGCAGAGGAGACGGAUGCCCACAGAGGCCCCUGAGUGGAUACCAUGCUCACUAAGUGGUAAGUAUAGACUCAACGUAGGCUGUUAGCUCUCCCCCUGUGCAAAUGGGACCCCAUCCACUUGAGAGUCAAGGGUCUGUUUGGGUGGCAGGGAUAGCCACUUCUGAAGGUAGAAAGGAAAAUAAGCCACCAAAUUGGUACCUUUCUGUGAAAUGGACAUCGUGCUCAGAAUCUCCAUUUUCCCCACAACCUGGAGGAAUAAGUACUGUCAUCUGCAUUUUAUAGCUGAGGAACCUGACUGAACAAAAUUGAAUUACUCGCCUAAGCAAUUAGCAAUUAACCAAGUCUUUCUGACUCAGAAACCCAGCUGUUGCCUGUUCAUAUCCAGCCCCUGUGUUGGUGUCAAGAUCUGGCCUGUUCUCAAUGCAGCAAGAUCCAGGCAGAUCACACUGGACUCCCAGCACUGAAUCUGGCUGAAGGGGUCAUCAAAUUUGACUGGGUCAUGGGGCUCAGGAGCAUCACUCUAAAAAAUAGCAGUACAGGAAGAGGCGAUGGCCCUAAACAGCAUUUGCAGGCAGAUCCCAUGUUAAUCGUAAGGGUCAGGACUCUCUCACUUUUCUGUCUCUCUCUCUGUCUCUCCUCUAGGGCUGACCUCACAUUGGACACCACUGCUUCCAUGUCCAUCACACACCACAGCUGCCUUUUCUUCUGCCUGCUUAUGGGAAAGUCCCCUCCUCUCCUCCGUUUUCUUCUCUUCCUGCCCUAUCACACCGUGCACUUCUCCCUUUCCUUAAAGAACCACCAUCAACUUUAGGAGGAGGGAAAGGGGUGGCUCUGGCAGGAAAAGCCAGAAUCCCCUCUAGCCAACAGAGAGAGAGGAAUGGCUGCAUGUUUUCUCCCCCAAUCCAAGGCACUGGGUCUUGGCUGAGUUGCAGGUUCCAAGCUGCUCUCCUGCUGUGUCGGUGAGUUCUGGUCAACCUGCAACCUCCUGAUGUGGCCACUGCAGUUCAUCGAGUCUUCAGGGACUCCCCAUGGCCUAGAGUGCUUUGCCUUGCUUACACGGGAGAGGAGAAUGGAUUUAUAGAGAACAUCAUCUAAAUCCAACUUGACCAUUGUGUGGCCACACUUGCUAGAUUGCUAUAGUCUAAAUCUAGCAUUGUAGAAAGACAGGGGAGCUUGGAGCUGCACAAACCCAGGUCUGGAACUGGCUCCUUACCUUGGAAGGUGAAUGAUCCUGGCAGGACUUAGCCUCCCUGGGCCUCAGUUUCUUUAUCUGUUUCAUGGGAAUGAGGAUCUCUGCUGGUUGGUUGGGUGAUGUGGGGGCUGUGUGAAAACAGCUUGUCAAUACAAGCCGAAAUUGAAAUAUUUCUCCACAGAGUAUGAAGGUCAAAUGAGAGAAUACAUUUAAAUUAAAUGGAAAAUUAAAAUGGCAAAAAAGGCAAAGCUGUAUUGAAAGUUCCGAGCUUCUCUAUAAGGAGCUUUUUGACUAUGUAAGAAUCCUGUACUCGUUCCCGCUAAAUACAAAAAAAAAAAAAAAAAAAAAAAAAGUUGAAGGAGGCAGAAGGGAGAGUGAUGCACGAUGGGCGAGGACUUCACCUGCUGUUGCUGGCUUUGAGGAUAGAGAAAGAAGGCCACAAACCUAGAAGCUGGAGCCCCUAGAAGCUAGAAAAGACAGGGAGCCGAUUCAUCCCUUAAGCCUCCAGAAGGGACAUAGCCCCGCUAGCACCUUGAUUUUAGCCCAGUGAGAUCCUCUUAGGAAUUUUGGCAACCAGAACUGUAAGACAGAAAUGGAAGCCACUGAGUCCGUAGCUGUUUGUUGCAGCAGCAAUAGAAAACUAAUGCAGAGCCCAAGAAAUCACUGGUGAUGAGAUGGGGAAAAUGGGCUCAGGAGGUCUGGAUCUGUGAUGAGAUGGGGAAAGUGGGCUCAGGAGGUCUGGAUCUGUGAUGAGAUGGGGGAAGUGGGCUCAGGAGGUCUGGAUCUGCGGUGCGGAUCUGGAGUGGAAGGGGAAUUCAUUUGUUCAUUGUCUAUCCUUUUGCAUUGAUUGAGUUUUUUUCUAUAUAUAUGUGUGAAUUUUCACAAUAACAGUUUUUUCCAAAAUAAAAUAAAAGAACAAAAGGGGCUUUUUGCAACCCAAAUCCUAUCUAUGUCUGAGUCCACUUGUAUUGAAUGAGUCUUUCUGCUAACGUCCUUAUAUUUGGGUGACAAUCUGAAUGUCAGCGACCAAUCAGAGCAGAGGCAAAUCUUGGAGUGGCAAUUGGUGAAUCUGCACAGUGGUGUUUCAAUAUUGUCACAACCCUUCUGUCUCUCAUGCUCUCAAAAAGCAUUUCUCUUACCUGUGACAGACUUCCUAUACCUAACAGCUUGCAAAAGUGUUCCAGGUUAAUGAGAAUAAUCUCUCGGAGCCAUAUCUCCCUGCUUGGGGUCUCAGUUUCCCCAACUGUCUCCAGACAAGUUAGGCUAGAAGGCCCCUGAGCCUCAGCCCCUCUAUACCCCUCCUGUCACCCAGACCUGAUCUGGGUCUUGCACCCUGGGUGCAGCAUGACAGGGGUGGGCAGGGGCUGGCUCUGGGCCAGAGGACCCUUUCUGAUGGACUUCAGCUGUUGGCCUUGCAGGGGAGACAGAUCAACCUCACAAGAGUCAUACGGUGAGUAGCGGUGGGCAAAUCCAUCCCCCUCGUCUUAGAUUUAUGGGGAGACAGACAAAGAGGAGACACUCCAGGAAGACCUGCAGGUGGGAGUACCAGGUUGAAACCAAGGACACCUUCCUGGAGGAGCUGCUGCUUGAGCCAGCUCUGAGAACAGGUGGGGACAGGACUGGAGAGGAGGAGGGGGUCCCCUAUGAGCAAAGACUGGCCACCACCCCAUCUAACACCCCCACAGGGCCCCUGUGGCAUCCCUGUCCAGUCCCUGUCACCACCCAGUUUUUCCCUCUGGACCCAGGAAUUCAAAGUAAGCAAGGAGGUCCGCUGCUCCAGUUGGCUGCAAAUAAUUACAACCUUGAGCCCAAGCAGCACUUUGGGUCCUGGUUUGGGACCAUGAAGCGGCUCGGUGAGACUGAGAGGUAAGGCCAGGGCAGGAAUUGGGACAGUAGGAUUGAACUCUCCCUGGGGGCCAGCCUCAGAAAGCCUUUGGCCAUAGCCUCUUGGCCAACAUCAGAUCCUGUGGUCUGGCAAUGCCUGGGGUACCCAGACCUCACUCUGGACAGGCCCUGGGAGGGGGCUCUGGUGAGAUCCCUGGCAGCCUCACAGCCACUCUUCUGUCCGUAGCUACAACCUGUCAUGCCAGCUGGAGGCUCCAUCCCAGUUGGCUGGGAGCACAAAGGCCAGGAAGAUAGACAUCACCCACCACAGGGGCCAGUCGGGGCCUGAGCCAGGGCGGGCAGAGGUUGGCUGCCUUGGGAUAUGGGUGGGCUCAGGGAGUCAGACAGCAAGGGACUAGCCUCCCAUCCUACUGCUGACCAGACCUGUGACUGGGGAGAGUCACCUUACUUCUCUGGGCCUCAGUUUCCCCCUCUGUGGAGUGACGCUAAAUGAUCUCUCUGGAGACGGGGAUCAAUAGGGCACUGGUGAUUGACCAGGCACUCAGCACAUGCCUGGAGCACACAGUGCAGGACUGUGGUGGGGAGGUGGCCUGAGAUCCUGGGGAGUCACCCAUGUGUGCCUGCCCUUCCGACCAGCCACCAGGCCCUCAGGGCAGAGCCCACUACCAGCAGCAGCUCACACCCCGAGACCAGCUCAGAGGCGGCCCCUACCUCAGCAGCAGGGACAUCAUGGACACUUUAAGCUGGUACUAGGGUGGCUUCUCCAGCUCCCACGUGGAGAGGGGUCCCAGCUGAGUCCCACUCACGUGGAGUCUCAUGCCCAUGAAAGUGCCAUUCACCACUGGCCAGGCUCAUGAGGCCGCAUGAGAGGGGGGUCACUGGGGAGGAGAUAUCGGGGGAACAGAGAGGAUGGUUGAAUUUUUGUAUAAUAGGCAGUGCAAGUGUUUACCAUUUGGGAGGGGAAAGGUUUGUUAUUAUUAGCAACGCUACACUUGAAUAUUAUACUAAAAUCCAGUCUCUCUAUAACCUGGGAGUUGCUCUUUUGUUCUUUCUUUUCCUGUCUUAAUUAAAAUGAGAUGCAGACUCUCACGGUCCACAGUCAAUUAAGAAAUCUUGCACGGCCAACAGGUUAUGUCUUGGAGAGCAGAGUUUCAGUACCAUCAGCCUGGCAAGGAGCUGGGCCUGCUCCUCAGAGCUCCCGGGACUGCGAGAUUUGGCACGUUCACAGGGCACCGUCACAGCCUCUGAAACAUGCUGUCUUUAAAGACUUUUGCAGUGGCUCACUCACUCACAGUGGGAUGCGGUGGCUCACUCCUGUAAUCCCAGCACUUUGGGAGGAAGAAGCGGGUGGCUCACUUGAGGCCAGGAGUUAGAGACCAACAUGGCCAACAUGGCAAAACCCCAUCGCUACUAAAAAUACAAAAAAUUAGCCAGGUGUGGUGUCAGGUGCCUGUAAUUCCAGCUACUCAGGAGGCUGAGGUAGGAGAAUUGCUUGAACCCAGGAGGCGGAGGUUGCAAUGAGCAGAGAUCACACUACUGUACUCCAGUCUGGGCAACAAGAGCAAAACUUCAUCUCAAAAUAAAAAUAAAAAAAAAAAAACACAGAGACAUUUGCAAGGACCAUGUCCUCACCCAGAAUGGUGCCUGCCUUUCUACAGUUUUUCAGGAAGAGGAAACAUUUUCUGCUUCUCUCGCUGCGGUUUUUUUUAACCACCCAUUAGGAACCUAUAGAUUUCAGGAUCGAACACUGGGAUUCCCUCAGCACUAAAGGAGGAAAAUUGCAAACAGAGCUGGAAGUGCAAUGUGGAAAGGUCAGGCUGAGGAAGGUUCUUAGCCAGUAGACCAAGGGCAGGAAGGACACUGCCUCCUCAGUCUCCCACCAGGGAACUUGUGAUUCUUGUCCCCUGAUGUCAGAAUUCCUUGUCAUGUUUGUUUUGUCUCCAAGGGAAGGGUUUGAAUUUCAGAAUUUAAGGCUAGAGUGGGCCUCGUGCAGUUAACAUUAACCCUCUCUCUCCUUCGCUGGCCGAGGUGAGGUCCAGGACCAUGUAGUUCUGACGUCCACUCUCUCGGGGGAUCACCAGUUCACCCAUCUCACCCGGCAAGCUGGGCCCUAGUUUGGCGACAGGCAUCUUCCACCCACCUGGGAGGCAGGGUUCAACACUCUGCCUCUGACCUUGUUUCCUUCUCCUGCCACCUGCUUAGGCAACCAGAAGGGGUUGUCCAGCCAGCACCUGGGCUUCAGCGCUCCUCAAGCAGGUGGAGGAAGUUUCAGGCACCUGGCUCCUCAGGUGUCUGCCAUCCAGGUGCUCUUCAGGCUUGCCCAGCAGAGCUCUCUUGAUCCAGCUAGAACUGGCCAGAACUGACUCACUCAGGAAUGUGUAGACUUUGGCAUCAGGGGCUGCUUUAAUUUGCACAAUUUCCAAAUGCCUCUUUUUUCUUCUUUUUCUGAUGAGUCAUCUCCCUAGACUUGCAUUUUAAAGAGAUAGAUAGUUAUCAGGUUCCAGAGAAGACGUGGUAGAACAUUUAUAUCUCAAAGACACAGAGCUGAGACUUCAGGUUUAGAUAUUAUAAUUUGCCUAAACCAAAAAGGAAGGUGUAGGUAAAGUUCUAGUCAAGACAGGAUGGCCAGGAAAAACACCUUAAACCAAGGGAUGGCUUGCUUUGCUGAUUUAAGCCAAUGGCUUCUUUAUCAUAAGACUUCCCAGUGAUUUAGUCCUCCCUCUCUUCCAGUGCACAGAGACAUACCCCUCCUUACAAAUUAAAAAUGUUCUUUAUAGAUGGAAAUUUAUUUUACAAAAAUGUUUCAAAAUAACCAGAUGAAAAUCAUCCUUAUGCCAGAAAGACUUUAUUUUUUUAUUACUAGAAAUGAAACAGUAAGUAUUUGUUGUAUUGACAUACUUAGGCUUAGACCUAUGUUUAACAAGAAAGCCUAAUAAUAGCACUGUGGUUAGACUCUAGCCUAUUUUUCCAAACCAUCAUUUUAUUAUUAAGGAAACAAAGGAUCAAAUACCUUUCAUUCAUCUGAUGUGAUCCUUUAAAACACAUUCCACCAAUAAGUCCUAUUUGGAACAGCUGAAAAUCUUUUAAUAAAACUUUUUAAAGAUGAGCUCAUGGCUUAGUGUAAAUUUCACAAGCUUAAUUAGGUCAAGUGGAAGGAACUCAGAUGAGUAGUUGCCCAAUCAGAGCCCAUUAUUUGUAAGUCAUCAGCCCCCUCCAUGACCUUAAAACUCCACUCUGACCUAAUUAUUGCAAACCUAUACACAACAAAGUGAAAGGAUUAAUUUUCAUUCAUCAACCUCUCAAUCCCAGAUUCUCAAAGAGAAAACCUGUGUAAGGAAUACUUACCAAAACCAGACAGGAAAAUUAGAGCCUGCAUACUUAAGAGUCAAAUUUGUUCCACUACAGCCAGGUCGCAUACAGUUACAUCAUUUGGUUCUUCAUACACUCUAGAACUGACCAGGACAGAGUUUAGCAUAGAAAAACUGUAAGAAAUAGGUUCUGAAACAUAGAAAUCGCAAAGUUCAAAAGGCUAUGAAAAAGACUAAUGUAAAUGAGACUUCCCUCCCUUUGUUUUAAAUAAAUAGACCCAUCAGAGAAAUGCAAAUCAAAACCACAAUGAGAUACCAUCUCACACCAGUUAGAAUGGCGAUCAUUAAAAAGUCAGGAAACAACAGGUGCUGCUGAGGAUGUGGAGAAAUAGGAACACUUUCACACUGUUGGUGGGACUGUAAACUAGUUCAACCAUUGUGGAAGACAGUGUGGCCAUUCCUCAGGGAUCUAGAACUAGAAAUACCAUUUGACCCAGCCAUCCCACUACUGGGUAUAUACCCAAAGGAUUAUAAAUCAUGCUGCUAUAAAGACACAUGCACACGUAUGUUUAUUGUGGCACUACUCACAAUAGCAAAGACUUGGAACAAACCCAAAUGUCCAAAAACGAUAGACUGGAUUAAGAAAAUGUGGCACGUAUACACCAUGGAAUACUAUGCAGCCAUAAAAAAUGAUGAGUUCAUAUCCUUUGUAGGGACAUGGAUGAAGCUGGAAACCAUCAUUCUUAGCAAACUAUCACAAGGACAAAAAACCAAACACCGCAUGUUCUCACUCAUAGAUGGGAAUUGAACAAUGAGAACACUUGGACACAGGAAGGGGAACAUCACACACCAGGGCCUGUUGUGGGGCGGGGGGAGUGGGGAGGGAUAGCAUUAGGAGAUAUGCCUAAUAUAAAUGAUGAGUUAAUGGGUGCAGCACACCAACAUGGCACAUGUAUUCAUAUGCAACAAAUCUGCACAUUGUGCAUGUGUACCCUAGAAUUUAAAGUAUAAUAAAAAAUAAAAAAGAAAGAAAUAGAUGUUCUGUAAAAAUAUACACAAUUUUUACAGACAAAUACAUUUAUAAGUUGUUUUUAUCUUAAAAAUUGGGGAUAUUUCAUAUUUAUAACUAAUUAUUGAGCCUUAAGUUUUCUUGGCCAUUUCUAGGCUAAUAAACUAAGAAUCAUGUAAACUAAGCCAAAGUAGAAUAGACAUAAAAGUCCUGAACACUUCAACUUCCUAUUCUUCAAGAAGUAUACUUGGCAAAUCUCAUUUGAGAGAGGAAAAGCUUUCCUCCACCCUCUGUUUUACAGCGCUGAGGCUUCUCAUCACAUUUCUAUGACUUGUAGCUUAAUCCAUGUUACAUGGUCACUGGCAUUAUUAGUGCUUCUCUUUUAACACUGUAGGAAUUAAUCAAUUUGGUGGUGUAUUUAAUUAAUUCUAUCACUAGAGGAUUGUAAAAUUACAUAUAUGAAUACCUCACUUUAGAAGCCACUUAAUUUUUUUCCAAGGGGAUAUUUGACUAUAUUUCACUUGUGUCUUAAUGAUUUUAUAAUUUAAACCCUAAAUUAUAAAUCUAGAAUUUAGAAAGUAUAUUUCCUCACUGGAUUACAUUUUUGGAAAUAUUAUUUUAUAUGUGCACAAAUAUUACAAAAUCACUGUAGACACCUGAAA